UACGGAGGGAGCGAGCGUUGUCCGGAAUUAUUGGGCGUAAAGAGCUCGUAGGCGGUUCAGUAAGUCAGGUGUGAAAUCUUUGGGCUUAACCCAAAGCGUGCACUUGAUACUGCUGUGACUUGAGUUCGGUAGGGGAGUGGGGAAUUCCUAGUGUAGCGGUGAAAUGCGCAGAUAUUAGGAGGAACACCGGUGGCGAGGGCGCCACUCUGGGCCGAAACUGACGCUGAGGAGCGAAAGCGUGGGUAGCAAACAGG
Molecule: ribosomal RNA, 254 nt
Filed under: uncultured bacterium
Lineage: Bacteria
Description: partial 16S ribosomal RNA
Rfam family: Bacterial small subunit ribosomal RNA
Source: RNAcentral